This 400-nucleotide ribosomal RNA is filed under the name uncultured bacterium. RNAcentral describes it as "bacterial SSU rRNA". It matches the Rfam family "Bacterial small subunit ribosomal RNA", at positions 355 to 772 of the family's 1533-position model. The record is from RNAcentral.
UGGGGAAUAUUGCACAAUGGGGGAAACCCUGAUGCAGCAACGCCGCGUGAGUGAUGAAGGCCUUCGGGUUGUAAAGCUCUGUCUUAGCUGACGAUAAUGACGGUAAGCUAGGAGGAAGCCACGGCUAACUACGUGCCAGCAGCCGCGGUAAUACGUAGGUGGCGAGCGUUGUCCGGAAUUACUGGGCGUAAAGGGAGCGUAGGCGGCCAAUUAAGUGGGAUGUGAAAUGCCUGGGCUUAACCCAGGAACUGCAUUCCAAACUGGUUGGCUAGAGUACAGGAGAGGAAAGUGGGAUUCCAAGUGUAGCGGUGAAAUGCGUAGAGAUUUGGAGGAACCCCAGUGGCGAAGGCGACUUUCUGGACUGAAACUGACGCUGAGGCUCGAGAGCGUGGGGAGCAAA